Molecule: ribosomal RNA, 942 nt
Filed under: Staphylococcus xylosus
Lineage: Bacteria; Bacillati; Bacillota; Bacilli; Caryophanales; Staphylococcaceae
Description: bacterial SSU rRNA
Rfam family: Bacterial small subunit ribosomal RNA
Source: RNAcentral
GCCUAAUACAUGCAAGUCGAGCGAACAGAUAAGGAGCUUGCUCCUUUGAAGUUAGCGGCGGACGGGUGAGUAACACGUGGGUAACCUACCUAUAAGACUGGGAUAACUUCGGGAAACCGGAGCUAAUACCGGAUAACAUUUAGAACCGCAUGGUUCUAAAGUGAAAGAUGGUUUUGCUAUCACUUAUAGAUGGACCCGCGCCGUAUUAGCUAGUUGGUAAGGUAACGGCUUACCAAGGCGACGAUACGUAGCCGACCUGAGAGGGUGAUCGGCCACACUGGAACUGAGACACGGUCCAGACUCCUACGGGAGGCAGCAGUAGGGAAUCUUCCGCAAUGGGCGAAAGCCUGACGGAGCAACGCCGCGUGAGUGAUGAAGGGUUUCGGCUCGUAAAACUCUGUUAUUAGGGAAGAACAAAUGUGUAAGUAACUGUGCACAUCUUGACGGUACCUAAUCAAAAAGCCACGGCUAACUACGUGCCAGCAGCCGCGGUAAUACGUAGGUGGCAAGCGUUAUCCGGAAUUAUUGGGCGUAAAGCGCGCGUAGGCGGUUUCUUAAGUCUGAUGUGAAAGCCCACGGCUCAACCGUGGAGGGUCAUUGGAAACUGGGAAACUUGAGUGCAGAAGAGGAAAGUGGAAUUCCAUGUGUAGCGGUGAAAUGCGCAGAGAUAUGGAGGAACACCAGUGGCGAAGGCGACUUUCUGGUCUGUAACUGACGCUGAUGUGCGAAAGCGUGGGGAUCAAACAGGAUUAGAUACCCUGGUAGUCCACGCCGUAAACGAUGAGUGCUAAGUGUUAGGGGGUUUCCGCCCCUUAGUGCUGCAGCUAACGCAUUAAGCACUCCGCCUGGGGAGUACGACCGCAUGGUUGAAACUCAAAGGGAUUGACGGGGACCCGCACAAGCGGUGGAGCAUGUGGUUUAAUUCGAAGCAACGCGCAGAAC